CGCCACUCAUCAGAACACAAAGAUGGCGAUCAGAGGUCUGUUGCUGGCGAUGAUUAUGUAUGCGUUGAUUCUCGUAGCACAGGAUGCUGGCAUACCUAGUGAGAACACCACCCCAUGUCCAAUGGAACAAACUGCCAUGUAAGGUUUAGAACCCACGACUUUAUCAGAACCUCGAAACCCAGGAUCUAGACUCUGACUAAAUAUGAUGUAAAUUUCCAUAUUUAGAAGUCCAGUUGUAUACAUACAUUUUUUUUCUCUCUCUCUCUCUCUCUCUCUCUCUCUCUCUCUCUCUCUCUCUCUCUCUCUCUCUCUCUCUCUCUCGCUCGCUCGCUCGCUCUCUCU
This is a long non-coding RNA of Penaeus chinensis, 342 nucleotides long. RefSeq lists it as uncharacterized. The transcript has 3 exons. Lineage: Eukaryota; Metazoa; Arthropoda; Malacostraca; Decapoda; Penaeidae. The record is from RefSeq and is a predicted model, not a curated record.